RNAcentral lists this ribosomal RNA (1325 nucleotides) under metagenome. RNAcentral describes it as "bacterial LSU rRNA". It matches the Rfam family "Bacterial large subunit ribosomal RNA", at positions 1578 to 2925 of the family's 2925-position model. The record is from RNAcentral.
AUUAGUAGAGAAGCGUGUGAGCCAGCUGCCAAGAAAAGCCGCUAUUGUUUCAUAAGUACCCGUACCGUAAACCGACACAGGUGGAUGAGGAGAGAAUCCUAAGGCCGGCGGGAGAAGUGUUGUUAAGGAACUCGGCAAAAUGACUCCGUAACUUCGGGAGAAGGAGUGCCACAGAGAUGUGGCCGCAGAGAAAUGGCCCAAGCAACUGUUUAGCAAAAACACAGGUCUAUGCAAAACCGAAAGGUGAGGUAUAUGGGCUGACGCCUGCCCGGUGCUGGAAGGUUAAGAGGAGAGGUUAGAGCAAUCGAAGCUUUGAAUUUAAGCCCCAGUAAACGGCGGCCGUAACAAUAACGGUCCUAAGGUAGCGAAAUUCCUUGUCGGGUAAGUUCCGACCCGCACGAAAGGCGUAAUGAUUUGGGCACUGUCUCAACAACACACCCGGUGAAAUUGAAAUACCAGUGAAGAUGCUGGUUACCUGCGCCAGGACGGAAAGACCCCAUGGAGCUUUACUCCAGUUUGAUACUGGGAUUCGGUACUGUCUGUACAGGAUAGGUGGGAGGCUAGGAAAUGGUGACGCCAGUUGCCAUGGAGCCAACCUUGGGAUACCACCCUUACAGUACUGGGUUUCUAACCUGCAGCCGUAACCCGGCUGGGGGACAAUGUCUGACGGGGAGUUUGACUGGGGCGGUCGCCUCCGAAAGAGUAUCGGAGGCGCUCAAAGGUUCCCUCAGAACGGUUGGAAACCGUUCGAAGAGUGCAAAGGCAGAAGGGAGCUUGACUGCGACACCGACGGGUGGAGCAGAUACGAAAGUAGGACUUAGUGAUCCGGUGGUAUAAAGUGGGAUUGCCAUCGCUCAACGGAUAAAAGCUACCCUGGGAUAACAGGCUUAUCACUCCCAAGAGUUCACAUCGACGGAGUGGUUUGGCACCUCGAUGUCGGCUCAUCGCAUCCUGGAGCUGUAGCAGGUUCCAAGGGUUGGGCUGUUCGCCCAUUAAAGCGGUACGCGAGCUGGGUUCAGAACGUCGUGAGACAGUUCGGUCCCUAUCCGGCGUGGGCGUAGGAUAUUUGAGAGGAGCUGUCCUUAGUACGAGAGGACCGGGAUGGACAAACCUCUGGUGUAUCUGUUGUUUUACCAAAGGCAUGGCAGAGUAGCCAAGUUUGGCAGGGAUAAACGCUGAAGGCAUCUAAGCGUGAAGCCCCCCUCAAGAUAAGAUAUCCCAUCUUCGGAGUAAGACCCCUUGAAGACUACAAGGUUGAUAGGCUUCAGGUGUAAGUGUGGUAACGCACUCAGCUGAGAAGUACUAAUAGGUCGAGGACUUACCAA